Molecule: ribosomal RNA, 253 nt
Filed under: uncultured bacterium
Lineage: Bacteria
Description: partial 16S ribosomal RNA
Rfam family: Bacterial small subunit ribosomal RNA
Source: RNAcentral
UACGGGGGGGGCAAGCGUUGUUCGGAAUUACUGGGCGUAAAGGGCUCGUAGGCGGCCAACUAAGUCGGACGUGAAAUCCCCAGGCUCAACCUGGGAACUGCGUCCGAUACUGGAUGGCUUGAAUUCGGGAGAGGGAUGCAGAAUUCCAGGUGUAGCGGUGAAAUGCGUAGAUAUCUGGAGGAAUACCGGUGGCAAAGGCGGCAUCCUGGACCGACAUUGACACUGAUGAGCGAAAGCCAGGGGAGCAAACGGG